CCUCAUCGACAUCAGCUUCCAAAGGACAACUUGCUAGGUAUUCGAACAAGAUUCCGAAUGCUGAAGAAAAUCCUAAAUGUCUAACCCACGUAAGGGAAGAAGGUGGAUCCACGAUCGUAAAUUGGAGG
Long non-coding RNA from Lolium rigidum, 128 nucleotides. RefSeq lists it as uncharacterized. The record is from RefSeq and is a predicted model, not a curated record. Lineage: Eukaryota; Viridiplantae; Streptophyta; Magnoliopsida; Poales; Poaceae. The transcript has 3 exons.